GGUGGAUUUAUAGCCCACUCCCAUGGAUGCCUUAGAACACUCAGUAUUGUUGGAUAUGCAGCCCACUGCAUGGAUGCCUCAGAACACUCAGUAUUGGUGGAUUUACAGCCAACUCCCAUGGAUGCCUGAGAACACUCAGUAUUGGUGGAUUUAUAGCCCACUCCCAUGGAUGCCUUAAAACAGUAUUGAUGGAUACGCAGCCCACUCCAAUGGAUAUCUUAGAACACUCAGUAUUGGUGGAUUUAUAGCCCACUCCCAUGGACGCCUUAGAAUACUCAGUAUUGUUGGAUACGCAGCCCACUCCAUGGAUGCCUUAGAACACUCAGUGGAUAUGUGACACACUUACAUGGAUGCUUCUUUUGGGGAAUAUUGUAUAGGUUAAAACUUUGGGCAAAUUUUCUCUUCCACAGUGUUUUCGAAUGAUGGAAACAGAAUGAGAUGAAGACUGUCCAUUGAUAUAAAUAGUAACUCAUUAUUUUUCCUCUUUGGGAGUUACUCCUCUGUCCUCAAAGCUAAUUCAAUGUGUGGGCCUUCUUUCUGAUGAGCACCAGGGAAUUGAGACAUUCUUCUUGGCCUUAACUAUCAGCUCAGCAGUGGUGAGCAGCAUGUGUCAUCGGUCGAGGAGCCAGUAUCCAGGGAAACCAGUCUUCAGAUGCAGUGUGUGCCCUUCACGAGGGACUCAGAAGGUGAAGCACCUGAACAUAGACUUUUCCAUGCUUUUCCACAAAAUUUAAGAGUUUCUUUUUUGUUUGUUUUAAAUUCGAGUGGCACAAAACAAGGCUCCUUAACUUUUCUGAAUGAGUGAAGAGUGUAAGAAGGUGUCAAAUAUCCACAAGCCCCGAGCACAUUUACUUAUCACACAGAACUGUUUCUUCUUUUGUGUAUUUCCUUGGCACUACUUUUAUUUUUUAACUAAACUUUUUAGUUUUUCUUUGCCACAUAGUUUUGUGAAUGAUAAUGUGAGAAACUAUAAAUUUAGUCAAAGUAUCCUGCCUGCACCUCUUUAAUAAUCACCAACUUCUUACCAUUGACUCACUUAUAACCGUUUCCAGAUUUAUGGAGGAUGAAGACCUAUCGUACCAAUGUGGCAGUUGAAAAGUGAAUUGCAACACAAUGAGAUAUAUUCACAUUAGGAGAGGAGCAGUACCUGUGCAUUCAGAACUGGAACUGCAGGUGUACCAUUACUGUUGAUAGAGGCAUCUCCUGCCGCGGUCCACCCAGCCUGAGCUGCCAGCCUGCCUAGCUUCUGCAAAGCCCCGAGUUGUCAUGGCAACCACUUCCUGAGACUUGAUACUCAUGCCUGCAGACUCUGGGUCCUGACUUAAAUAGUUUUAUUUUUUUUAAAAAGGCAUAAAUUGAUAGUGCAAUAAAAUCUGGUUUAAAGAUUG
This 1388-nucleotide long non-coding RNA is filed under the name Homo sapiens (human). Its description in RNAcentral is "HSALNT0380328". Lineage: Eukaryota; Metazoa; Chordata; Mammalia; Primates; Hominidae. The record is from RNAcentral.